CUAUUGCAAUAGUGCAAGACCGAAAAAUUAACAACUACACAUAAAAUGUGACGCCUCCAAAAUAGGUAUACAUCACCCAUCUUGAGUCGCCAGAUACAUGGUUCAUAAAUUCAAAUACAACUUAAUAAUACAACUGUCGUGUAAAAUAUGACAAAACAUAGCUGAGAGUUUAAAUAAGAAUAUUGCCUUCUAGACAAUAUCCACUCCCAAUAGAGUCCUCAUUACAAUUAUUAUCACACUAUUUAACAGAAUAGUGAGGACUACUAAUGCCACUUAUAUUGGAUCAUCAUUCCAUUCCCCGACUAGUCCCUGCUACGUUCUCAUUUCCUGAAGAGAACAGUGAAAGAAAGGGUGAGCUCAACUAGCCUAGUAAGAAAUAUUAUGAUUAAGAUAAUGCAGGAUAAAUUAUCAUUAGCCUUCAACAAUGUUAAACUGAUAAAAUACAAUAGACAUCAAGUUUAACUACAGCGGAAUAAACAAUCUAUUAAAAGAGUCAAGUAGAGAAUAAAGUCUACUAUCUUUUAUGAUUUAAAAAGUUUUUCAUCACUUUUAUCGCUGAGACUCAGCUUAAUAAAUAAUCCACAUCAUCCAUGCACUACAGCCAAGGAUAUUCAUUAGUAUCACGACCACAAAUUAUCCAUGCACUACGGGCCAAAGAUAUUCGUGUAUUCAUCAAUGGUCAUAAUCAUGCCAUAAAACAAUUCAUCUUUGCUCUCUUGGCCGAAGAGAAUUCAUAGCCAUAAUCAUACCAAAAACUGUCUAUCAAUGCACUACGGGCCAAUGAGGAUUUUUUUUCACAUCAUUUGUAAUAUUACGGUCAUGAUUUUACUGAAUAAUCCCUGGUCAUAAUCAUACCAAGUCCAUCUAUGCACUACAGGCCACAGAUGACUUUCAACAAAAUAUAAACAUGAGGAUGAUGACAAUGAUAUAAGAAUUCAAUAACACAAGUUCAAGAAUUAAUUUAUCCAAGAACUAAUAAUAUCCAAAUUAUCAACAUGAUACUUCUUUGUAAACUAAAAUUCAAGAAUGCUCAGAAGAAUAUUUCCAUGAAAAGAUACUGGAUGAAGCGCAAAUAUCAAGGAUAUUCCACUAAUUUCAUAGAGUAUAGAAAUCAAAACUUUAACCAACUGAGUAUAAUAAAGAAUGGAAUAACAACAGAAAUCACCAUGCAUGCGGUACUUCGCAUAGACAGGUUAUUCCAACAGAAUAAUAAAUAACGGAACCAGGUCAGGUGAAAUUCACACCGACAGGAUGUUCCAACAGAAUAAUAAUGGAAUAACAACAGAAAUCACCAUGCAUGAGGUACUUCGCAUAGACAAGUUAUUCCAACAGAAUAAUAAAUACGGAAUAAUAAAUAAUGGAACCAGGUCAGGUGAAAUUCACACCGACAAGAUAUUCCGACAGAAUAAUAAAUGCGGAAUAAUAAAUAUUCACCCUCAGUAGUUGAUAGCGCCACUGAGGUUUGCUUUUUACUAUGCCAUGACAUGAGACUUUAUCCCAAGAAAGUACAAGCACCACUCAUACUUUUUCUAUCGAUUUGACACCCUACAUAGUCAGCAUCUGAAUAACCUAUUAGUUCAAAGUGAUUACAAAUUGAAUAAAAUAACCCUAAAUUAAUUGUACCACUUAAAUAUUUUAAAAUUCUUUUAACAACAUUUAAAUGUAAUUCUUUGGGUUUAGCCUGAAAUCUUGCACAUAAACAAACACUAUACAUUAUAUCAGUUCUAGAGGCAGUUAAGUAUAACAAGCAUCCAAUCAUACCUUGAUAUUUUGUUAUAUCAACAUCAAUACCUUUGUCAUCAGUGGUGAGCUUUAUUUAUGUGCUUAUGGGUGUACCUUUUGAGUUAGAUCCUUCAAAGCUAAAUCUCUUGAGUAAUUCUUUUGUGUAUUUGGUUUGAUGGAUGUAAAUUCCUUCCUUCGUUUGCUUGAUUUGAAGUCCCAAAAAGUAGUUGAGUUCUCCUAUUAAGCUCAUAUCAAAUUCUUUAUGCAUGCACUUGGAAAACCACUCACAAAGAUGAUCAUUAGUAGCACCAAAAAUUAUAUCAUCUACAUAUAUUUGAACAGUAAUAAUAUCUAUAUUUAUAUGCUUAAUAAAUAAUGUAGAAUCUAUUUUACCUCUAAUAAAUCCGUUUGAUAAGAGAUACUUACUUAACCCUUCGUACCAAGCCCUUGGAGCUUGUUUCAAGCCAUAAAGUGCUUUCUUUAAUUUGUAAACAUGAUUAGGAUACUUUUUGUGCUCAAAACCAGGCGGGUGUUUUACAUACACCCCUUCAUUGAUGUAUCCGUUGAGGAAAGCGCUUUUUACGUCUAUUUGAUAAAGCUUAAACUUUUUGUAGCAUGCAAAAGCCAACAAAAUUUUGAUUGAUUCCAGCCUAGCAACUGGUGCAUAAGUUUCUUUAUAGUCGAUCCCCUCUUGUUGGUUAUAACCUUGAGCUACUAGCCUUACGUUGUUACGAGUGAUUGUUCCGUGCUCAUCAAGCUUGUUCUUGAAUACCCAUUUAGAACUAAUAAUGGAAGCAUCUUUUGGAGGAGGCAUAAGUUCCCAUACUUGGCAUCUUUCAAAAUUUUGAAGUUCUUCUUGCAUUACCAAUAACCAGUUUUCAUCAAGGACUGCAUCCUUUGCAUUUUUUGGCUCAACCUGUGACAAAAAUGCAGAGAAUGCAUAAUGAUUUUGUAAACCUCUUCAUGUGGUUACUCCUUUAUUUAUAUCUCCAAUAAUUUUCUCUGGAGGAAGAUUCUUGACAUAUCUAGCUAUUUUUGGCAUUUGGAUAUCAUUUAUAACUUCCUCUUGAUCAUGAGAUUCAUCUUCAGCAUCUUACAAAUGUUCAGGUUCACGUUUAUGUUGGUUAUCAAUUUCCGUUUCCUGAAACUGUUCAUUCGGUCUCCUAUUUUGUUCUUUUUGGUUUGUUGAAUUCUUGACUAUCUCCAAAUUUCCUGCAUCAUCUUCAGUUUCUUUUGGAAGAUCAUUGUUAGUUUCAUUGAAAGUGAUAUGAACAUACUCUUCUACACAUAAUUUUCUAAUAUUGAAAAUAUGAUAAGCCCUACUAUUUUGAGAAUAACCAAUGAAUAUUCCUCCAUAUGACUUAGCAUCAAAUUUUCCCAAAUUAUCACUUGUAUUUAAGAUGAAACAUUUAGAACCAAAUACUUUGAAAUAACUUAUAUUUGGAAUUUUAUUAUUUAGAAGCUCAUAAGGUGUUUUCAAAAUAAUAGGACGAAUGAGUACUCUAUUUAAAACAUAACAUGAUGUACUUACUGCUUCAACCCAAAAUUUCUUUGGAAGCUUACUUUUUUGCAGUAGAGUUCUUGCCGUCUCUUGUAGAGUCCUAUUCUUCCUUUCCACCACCUCGUUUUGUUGACGAGACCUUGAGUCUAAAAAUUCAUGGCUAAUACCCCUUUGAUCACAAAAAAUUAUAAAAUCUUUUUUAAAUUCAGUACCAUGAUCACUUCUAAUUCUAAUGAGUUUGUAGCUAUACUUAGUUUCAAGAUUCCUUAUUAAUUUUUCAAACUCUUUAAAUGCUUCAUCCUUAGUUCUCAAAAAUAAUACCCAUGUGUAUCUUAAAAAGUCAUCAACUAUUAUAAAUGUAUAAAAUUUACCAUUAAUACUUGAAUGUCUUUCCAGUCCAAAUAAAUCAAGAUGAAGUAGUUGUAAAGGAGAAGAGGUUGAUACCAUAUUCUUUGUCGUAAAAGAAGUUCUUACUUGUUUUCACAGUUGACAAGGAAUACAUAUUCCUUUCUUUUCAAACCUGAUUCUUGGAAACCAUUUAACGAGAUUCUUUGACGAUAGUUUCUUGAUUAAGUCCAUGUGAACAUGUCCCAUCCUUUUAUGCCAUAGAUAAGCUUCAUCUUGUACUAAAGUAAGAUAUAUUUCUUCAUCAUGUUACUUAAAAUCAAGUGUAUAUAUAUUUCCUUCUCUUUGUGCAACUAGAGUAGUAUUGUUAGUACCAUGAAAUAUUAUGCAUUUAUCUUUUUUAAAGUUAACUUGAUGGCCAUUAUCCAUUAAUUGACUAAUACUAAUUAAAUUGAAUUCAAGACCAUUAACGAGGUGCACAUUAUUUAUACUUACCUUGCCAUUACUAAUUUUACCUUUUCCAAUUAUCUCGUAAGUUUUAUUGUCUCCAAACGUGACCGUUCCAUUCUUCUUUUUGAUAUUUAGUUCUACGAAUUUUGAUUUAUCACCUGUCAUGUUUCGAGAACAUCUGCUAUCAAGAAUCCAUUUUUGAGAUGGAAUUCUUGCCUUUAAACAUACCUAUCAAGAAAGAAUAAUUUAUCCUUUUGGUACCCAUAUCUUUUUGGGUCCACUUAUGUUAGUAGCAUGUAAAUCAUUCUUUUUAAGCCAUACCUUUUUAACCUUAUUUCGUUUCUUAAAAAAAUUUAUAUCUAAAUGACCUUUAAUACCAUAAUGUUUACAAGUUGUGAAAGGAGAGCAAUAAUUUAAACUAAACCAUGACUUUGAUUUUAGCAUUUUCAUAUUACUCUUUUUAUGCAUAUAAUCAUAACCAAUUCCUUGUCUUUCAAAACUAGGUCUUUGUUUACCUAAUAUGACAUUUAAAUUUUCUUCACCUUGGACAAAUUUAGCAAGAGAUAAUUUUAAUGAAGCUAUUUCUUUUUGAAGUUCAUUAUUAGGAGAGGUUUUAACAGGAGAUUUAACACUGAAUGCAUCAAUAUACACAUCUCUCAUUUUUAGCUCAUUAGUCAAUUUUUGGACUUCAUUAUUCAAGAAAUUUACCUUAUUGAAAAGUAUUUUGUUAUAAUUGUCUAAAUAAUCAAUCUUAGCAAUUAAAACCUUUUCUUCUUUACAUGUAGAUUCCUUUUCAAUUUCUUUCUUUUCAUCUAUUAGUGAAUAUACUUCACUCAUUAAAGUAUUAACUAAACCUCUUAAGCACGCAUUCUUUUCUUUUAACUUCUUAUUUUCUUGUUCUAAUGAGUUCAGUUCAUUAAGAGAUACCUGAUUAGAUUCACCUUCAAUUCCCACAAAACAUACUUGUGUUAUUUCAUCUUUAGCAUCGAUCUCCACAUCGGAUUCCUCAUCACUCCAACUCACAAGGGCUUUGUUCUUCUUGUGAUCUUUGUAGUUUGUCUUCCCUUUGUUCUUUAAUUGAAAGAAAUCUUUCUUGAAGUGACCAAGACGUCCACAUUCGAAGUACGUCUCUUCAGUUUGCUUUCCUUUGAGUUUAUUCAAAUUGAAAGUAUUUCUUCUCUUAUUCUUCCUUUGUAGUAGCCCCUUGAGUCUUCUUGAUAUCAUGGCUAUUUCUUCAUCUGAGUCAUCAUCAAGCUCCUCUUCAUUAUCUGUAGUAAGAGCUAAGACCUUUCAUCGAGGAGUUUCCUCCUCAUCAUCAUAUCUCUUUAACUGAUGUUCAUAUUCUUCUAAUUCACCAAAUAAAGUUAAAGUAUCCAUGGAAGAAAUAGUGGCAGAAUCUUGAAGAGUGGUGAUUUUAGAAGCAAACCUUUUGGGCAUAGCUAUUAAAUUCAGGCUACUAUAUUGAUGAAUUCAGCUUACUGAAUAAUUAGGACCUACUAAAUUGACUGAUUAUUUUUAAGAAAAUAUCCUUCAAAAUUUAUAACUUAGAUAAAAUACUUUGUGUUUAAAGAAUUAUGCAAAUAUCCAAAUCUUAAUUAUUAAGGCAAAUAAAUUAUUUAUGUGAAUAAAUAAAGUAAAACAAAUAAUAAAAUUAACACCAAAAUUUUUUACGUGGUUCAGCUAUUACCCUUUAUAAUAAUAGCCUAGUCCACGUCCAAUAUCAACUAGUAUUAGAGGCUCAAUUUAUUUAUUUCUUUAUAAAUAAACACUGAUUACAAAACAGAUUCUUACAAAAAUUAAUAACAAUUAAUUUCUUCUUGAGCACACUUGCUCUUUGUGCAUCUAUGCACUCUUCAAGCACCUUUGCCUCUACCUAUUGUGGGAUAAUGUUAGCAGCCUUCAUACCCUCGUCAGGCCCAAAGACACAGCCACAAUAGACAAAGAAUGUACAGGAUAUAAAUGGAAACCAUAGUUGGUCAGAUCAUUAUGGUCUCUAUUUGAUAGUUUUUCCUUUUCUUCUGAGGAGGCCUAUGUUUGGUGUCUUGCUAUAUUAUACCACCUUCCUCCACCAAAACAUGGCUCAAGCACAAUAUUAAGUUAUUAACACAUAUUAAGAAUGUCAAAUUAGAGGUGAGAGUGUAAAAUAAGUUCCAACUUUACCCUUAUAUGGCUGUACUACAAUAUUAGUGGGUCUCAUAUAGUUAUGACACAAAUACAAGAUACUAUAGUCUUUUUUUCCACUUUAUAACUCCGACUUUAGUACAGGAGUAUUUCUUUCACUGUGGGGGACGAAGCAGGAAAGGGUGGCAAUAAUUAGUUUGAAAAUGGGACUAGAGAUGAAUUGCCUAGGCAUUAAGAAAAGUUAGUUUAAAGAUGAGAAUAGAGGUGAGAUAAGUAAGCAAGAAAAGUAUAAGAGUAGGACUUGUGUCCCAUAUGAUUGGAUUUACAAUAUUUCUUUGGUAUUCGAACCCAAGGUACAGUUUUAUCCUCUAGUUAUCUGAAAAAAAGACGGAGAAAGUUCUCUACAACAAGAUACUCUCCCCAGUUGCCUCUAAGGCCACCUCAUCAUAACCAACAUCACACAAAACAGGAAGAGAUGUAGAUACCCCCAAUAUAACCAGCUAUUGUGCAACAGCACAAAAAAUAAUCAGUUAUUACCUCAAAGAAUUUUUGUACACAACCAGCUAUGAAGCAUAUGAACAAUCUGUGACUGCAAGGCUGCAACCAAACCAUCCUCUCUAAUUCCUAGCCCAUAGAUGUCAAUCCCAAACCAAGUAACCAACCCUAAGCUGCAUGUGCAAAAAUUAUAUUCUUUCUGACCUUCCUGCCACCGCAACUGAACACCUCAAGAGUAAAUGUCAACUCAGACCCAACUACUCUUUUAACACCCUCCAUCCUAAAUUAUCCACAUCCGACUUCACACCUGGUCCAUAGAGCUUAAUACUAAUAAUAGAACUCCAAAAUAACAUACAUAGAAAGACCAGACUAGACUAUGACUACCCAGGGAACAUAACAUAAUCGCAAAAUUUAGGCCAUCAGAUUAUUUGCGAACUCAGAAAAGGUCUUAUAGUUGGUGCCAAGAAUCAAAUCCUAAUAUGAGCAUGAUGACUAUGCUAUAAAAGGUUAUAAAUUCUUGAAGAAGUCAGUCAUGUUCUCCUUGAAUCUCUCCACAAAUUUACACUAUGAGAAUCCCUCUGACCUCCUCAGGAGUUUCAUUUUCCUAAUACAUCCAUAAUUACCAAGCUAUUACAAACUUCAUCAGCUGUCCUUUUCUAGUACUUACUUCUACUCUAAUUUAUCAAAUAGCCAUAAAGUUUCAGUUCUUUCCCUUUUUUUCCUCUUUGCCAGAAUCAAGUAGAGGUUAAUACAUUUAUUGAUAAGGUGGUUUAGUAUAUUACUUAUGUAGUAAAGUAAUUCAAACAAUACCUUUGGAACAUAACAUUGACCUAGCAGCCACAUCAAAAAUGUAUCAAGUCUGCAUCUUAUUUUCUCUUUAUUUUUAUUUUUUUUGAUAAGAAUGUGUUAAGUGAAUGCUACCACAACCAAGACUAUAAGAUACAUCACAGUGUUGAUUCUUGAUGCAUAUAUUAUCAAUAUCAAAACUAUUAAACCACAACAAAAUCAGCCAACUACCAAAUUGUGAUAAUAAGAGGGAAAAGGGAAAAUCAACUAUCAAAAACUGCACUAACAAGCAAAUUCAAUUCAAAGAUCAAAUUUUUUGAAUACCCAUAACCUGAAAUCAAGCAAAUAAUAAGACCCAGAUCAAAAACUUGAUUAAAAUCCAUAAAGCAUACAAUACUUCUAAACUUACACCCACACAUCUCAACAAUACAAAUGCUUUUAUAGGUACAACCGAAAGAACAAAAAUUGCAAAAUAUGAGAGAUUAAAGUAUAAAUACCUGCUGGAGGAGACUAGAUAGAAGGCCAAAGAGCUGGGCAUCUGGUUGUGGGGUUGCUACAUCUUCUUCCGCCAUUUGAAUUUUUGAUUCUUGUGUUUGUAUGUGAUUGUGUUUAUAUAUAUAUGAAUUUGGUCUGCAGUUUCUCUAUCCUCUGCUCUGUUCUGUCAAUUUGCUAAUUGCAAUUAGACAGCAACGAUUUAACUAUUUCGGGAUUGAUUUACAGGUUGGGUAGUUCAAUUCCGGACGAAAACCGGGUGAACGGGUGUCAUGUUAGUUGAGAAUUUUUGGGGAAUUUAUUUGCUUCGUCUUUUUUUUUCUUUUUCCCCCUUUAUUUUAGUAAAUAAUAAAUUUCUAGAAUAUAUGUUAUUAAUUUUCCUUUUUUGUCUUUUUUUCCCUUACAGUGGUAGAGGUCAUUAUUUCCA
Molecule: long non-coding RNA, 8339 nt
Filed under: Panax ginseng (ginseng)
Lineage: Eukaryota; Viridiplantae; Streptophyta; Magnoliopsida; Apiales; Araliaceae
Description: long non-coding RNA (PGIN_LNC002012)
Source: RNAcentral